This 253-nucleotide ribosomal RNA is filed under the name uncultured bacterium. RNAcentral describes it as "partial 16S ribosomal RNA". It matches the Rfam family "Bacterial small subunit ribosomal RNA", at positions 524 to 776 of the family's 1533-position model. The record is from RNAcentral.
UACGGAGGGUGCGAGCGUUGUCCGGAAUCACUGGGCGUAAAGGGCGCGUAGGCGGCCGAGCAAGGUCGCGGUGAAAGCCCGGGGCUCAACCCCGGGUCGGCCGUGGCAACUACUGGGCUGGAGCACUGUAGGGGCAGAUGGAAUUCCGGGUGUAGCGGUGGAAUGCGUAGAGAUCCGGAAGAACACCGGUGGCGAAGGCGGUCUGCUGGGCAGUUGCUGACACUGAGGCGCGACAGCGUGGGGAGCAAACAGG